Molecule: ribosomal RNA, 253 nt
Filed under: uncultured bacterium
Lineage: Bacteria
Description: partial 16S ribosomal RNA
Rfam family: Bacterial small subunit ribosomal RNA
Source: RNAcentral
UACGGGGGGGGCAAGCGUUGUUCGGAAUCACUGGGCGUAAAGGGUGCGUAGGCGGCUUUCUAAGUUGGAUGUGAAAACUAUGGGCUCAACCCAUAGCCUGCAUCCAAAACUGGAGAGCUUGGGUUCUGGAGGGGAAAGCGGAAUUCCUGGUGUAGCGGUGAAAUGCGUAGAUAUCAGGAGGAACACCGGUGGCGAAGGCGGCUUUCUGGACAGACACCGACGCUGAGGCACGAAAGCUAGGGGAGCAAACAGG